RNAcentral lists this ribosomal RNA (351 nucleotides) under Agrobacterium tumefaciens. RNAcentral describes it as "bacterial SSU rRNA". It matches the Rfam family "Bacterial small subunit ribosomal RNA", at positions 957 to 1305 of the family's 1533-position model. The record is from RNAcentral. Lineage: Bacteria; Pseudomonadati; Pseudomonadota; Alphaproteobacteria; Hyphomicrobiales; Rhizobiaceae.
UUACGCGAAGAACCUUACCAGCUCUUGACAUUCGGGGUUUGGGCAGUGGAGACAUUGUCCUUCAGUUAGGCUGGCCCCAGAACAGGUGCUGCAUGGCUGUCGUCAGCUCGUGUCGUGAGAUGUUGGGUUAAGUCCCGCAACGAGCGCAACCCUCGCCCUUAGUUGCCAGCAUUUAGUUGGGCACUCUAAGGGGACUGCCGGUGAUAAGCCGAGAGGAAGGUGGGGAUGACGUCAAGUCCUCAUGGCCCUUACGGGCUGGGCUACACACGUGCUACAAUGGUGGUGACAGUGGGCAGCGAGACAGCGAUGUCGAGCGAAGCUCCAAAAGCCAGAUCAGUUCGGAUUGCAACG